Molecule: long non-coding RNA, 682 nt
Organism: Paramacrobiotus metropolitanus
Lineage: Eukaryota; Metazoa; Tardigrada; Eutardigrada; Parachela; Macrobiotidae
Exons: 3
Source: RefSeq, a predicted model, not a curated record
AGAUUUAUUUCACGCUAAAAAUCAGCGGAAGCAGCGGCAUCAGUGUACCCAUAUAUAAUUUUACCGUCGUAUCCACCGGUAAUUUACAAAAGGUCACCUGCCCACAGCCGUAUCACAUGUACAAUGGCCGCUUUUGCUACGACAGUGAAAUUAUGCAUAUUCCUGACGCUGUUUUGCACACUGAUCCUGCAUAUUCAUGCAAUGCCCGUAUCGAAUUCAGAGGGAUCACAAGCAGUGCAAAAUGAUGCGGUACACAGCAGGUCGAAGCGGCAGUUUGGUGGCUGGGGUUUAGGAGGGGACGCUCAAGGUUUCCUUUGGGGUUUGCUCUUCCAUAAUUACUUUACGUCCGCACCAGCGUCCGGAUAGCAAAUCAGUGGGAUGUACAGUUAAUACAUGGAUCCAAUGCUAACCACGUGACCUUUCCGCGCUUGCGCUUGAAAAUUCCAGUAUCAAGGUUAAAAUGGAUAAGCGCGACAAUUUAUGCCGUCAAUAUCUAUUUACUAAACGUUCAGUACGUACGGAAAAAAGAUAUUUCGGCAUUCUUAGUUAAUAUAACGAACAUCUGUCUGAAGUGUUUAAGAAAGACUGGUGCCACUAUGCACAUGCUCAAUAAAUCACAAGUCUGGCGCAAAAACCAUUCUACUCUUUCAUUUUUAUUCCGCUAAGCCGUUUCUGUACAAAG